This 1473-nucleotide long non-coding RNA is filed under the name Callithrix jacchus (white-tufted-ear marmoset). Its description in RNAcentral is "lncRNA (ENSCJAG00000079700.1)". The record is from RNAcentral. Lineage: Eukaryota; Metazoa; Chordata; Mammalia; Primates; Cebidae.
AAGAGCAUCAGAGUGUUUUGCAGGAAGUACAUUAAUAGUAACUGUUCCAACCACCACUUCCACCCUGCACCUACGGGGGUAGAAGCAGCUUAACAAGUUGGAUUUCCCAACCUAUGAAUCAGAGAAAGCAUAUGCUAAAGGCAUUCCUAAUGUUUCCUUGAAUUUGGGGAUAUCAUGGUGGACAGGGGAGGGGUUGGAGGAUGAGGUAGAAGAGAAAAUAGAAUUCUUUGCAUUCGAGGAAUGAGUUUUCUGCCUAUGUGGAGGGAGAGACUCAAGCUAAACAUUUAAUAUGCUGCACAAAUAUGUCUGUUUCUUCAUCGAUAAAUGAAAUGGAACUGAAGCUGGAUGAUUAAUUCAGAAUACAGAGGAAAGGCCAUAUGGGGACACGGGGAGAAGGUGACCAUCUGCAAGCCCAGAAGACAGCCCUCACCAGAAACAGAAUUGGCUGUCACUUUGAUCAUGGAACUUCUAGCUCCAGAACUGUGAGAAAAUAAAUUUAUCCUGUUAAAGCCACCAAGUCCAUGGUAUUUUGUUAUGGCAGCCUGAGCAGAUAGAUCACACACACCUACCUACACACCACAUUAUCUUUUUCCUUUUUAUAACAAUAAAUGCAGCACACAUCCCUGCACUUUGAAUUUUCCAGCUGACAAUGUCCUUGAGAUUUCCAUAUAAGGACAUAAAGAUCUCAUUCUUUUCAUUUUGUUUUUGACACCAGCAUAAUAGUUUAUUGAAUGGAUAUGCCAUGAUUUAUUUCACUUGUCCCUUAUUAACAAACAUUUAAGCUUUUCCAACUUGCCAGCACAAACAAUUCUCCAAUAAAUAACCCUCAUGAAUAUAUAAUUUUUCACAUGCCACUUAGGAUUUUUUAAAAAUAUGAAUCAGUUGCCAAUGUUUAAAAGUAAGGAGCUUUCAUGUACAACCUGGAUUUGUUACUUUUCUUGAAAGAGCAGAUCUGAGGAUACUGGUCCACAUUCUCCCCUGGUGCUGGAGCUAAGAAGUCACUGUCUGGUUCAGAUGGGGCUCACAAUCUCCUGAUCGCCAUUGCCACUAACAUGUCUCACUCCCUCACCACUGUUACUGAUCAGGCUCCAACAGGCAUGGGAGUUUUUGACCCUAGUCUAGAUUCUCUGGUGCCACUGUACCUUGAGUCAAAUGAUCAGAAACCAUAGUAACAAUGUACCAGCUUAGCUCAUUCUCAUUGCUUUCUCUAAAAAAGAAAGAUUAAAAAAAAUCCUUACUGAGUUAAAAUGUAAUAUUAUGCUUCUGCCUCUAUAGAAGGAUGAAAUAAGAAUUCUCUGUUUAACAAGGAUUUUAAUGGUUUUUAUAAGGGCUGUCAUUGAAGAUACCGUCCACUGUGUUAAAGUUCUUUAUAUAAAUUCUCAUUCCAUAAAUGUCUGCUUAGGUUUGAUUUUAGAUUUUUUUUUUAAAAAAGUAUCUUUGGGCGAAUGUAUAUAAUUUCUUUUGUCAGAAAGU